GACGAACGCUGGCGGCGUGCUUAACACAUGCAAGUCGAACGGAAAGGCCCUGCUUUUGUGGGGUGCUCGAGUGGCGAACGGGUGAGUAACACGUGAGUAACCUGCCCUUGACUUUGGGAUAACUUCAGGAAACUGGGGCUAAUACCGGAUAGGAGCUCCUACUGCAUGGUGGGGGUUGGAAAGUUUCGGCGGUUGGGGAUGGACUCGCGGCUUAUCAGCUUGUUGGUGGGGUAGUGGCUUACCAAGGCUUUGACGGGUAGCCGGCCUGAGAGGGUGACCGGCCACAUUGGGACUGAGAUACGGCCCAGACUCCUACGGGAGGCAGCAGUGGGGAAUAUUGCACAAUGGGCGGAAGCCUGAUGCAACAACGCCGCGUGCGGGAUGACGGCCUUCGGGUUGUAAACCGCUUUCGCCUGUGACGAAGCGUGAGUGACGGUAAUGGGUAAAGAAGCACCGGCUAACUACGUG
This 468-nucleotide ribosomal RNA is filed under the name uncultured bacterium. RNAcentral describes it as "partial 16S ribosomal RNA". It matches the Rfam family "Bacterial small subunit ribosomal RNA", at positions 28 to 507 of the family's 1533-position model. The record is from RNAcentral.